AAUCAACGCUGGCGGCGUGCCUAACACAUGCAAGUCGGACGUGAAAGGGGUUUCGGCCCUGAGUAGCGUGGCGGACGGGUGAGUAACGCGUGGGCAACCUACCCAUAAGAGGGGGAUAACAGCUGGAAACGGCUGCUAAUACCGCAUAAGCUUACCGGGACACAUGUAUUGGUAAGUAAAGGAGGCUUAGGCUUUCGCUUAUGGAUGGGCCCGCGUCUGAUUAGCUAGUUGGUAGGGUAACGGCCUACCAAGGCGACGAUCAGUAGCCGGCCUGAGAGGGCGACCGGCCACGACUGGGACUGAGACACGGCCCAGACUCCUACGGGAGGCAGCAGUGGGGAAUAUUGCACAAUGGGCGAAAGCCUGAUGCAGCGACGCCGCGUGAGGGAUGACGGCCUCGGUUGUAACCGUACUUCUAGCAGGAAGAAGACGAAGUAGACGGUACCGUGCAGAGAAGACACCGGCGUAACUAACGUGCCAGCAGCCGCGGUAAAGUACACGUCG
Molecule: ribosomal RNA, 504 nt
Filed under: uncultured bacterium
Lineage: Bacteria
Description: bacterial SSU rRNA
Rfam family: Bacterial small subunit ribosomal RNA
Source: RNAcentral